Molecule: long non-coding RNA, 1981 nt
Organism: Vespa velutina
Lineage: Eukaryota; Metazoa; Arthropoda; Insecta; Hymenoptera; Vespidae
Exons: 2
Source: RefSeq, a predicted model, not a curated record
CGAUCUCUCUUCUAUUUUGUUUUCUCUCGACAGCUAUAUAUAACGAUUAACAUUGAAACACAAAGAUCCGAGGAUAACUCGUAUAAGUAAAUUUCUACGCAAUAAACUUUUUCCGUUGGAUUGAUGCUUCGUUAGACGAAGAAACGAUAGAACAUUGUCUCGAUUUAGAUCGUCACUACUUAUCUACGAACACGUAGACCUAGUUGCGAUUUCCUCGGAAUUGCUUCUCGAUAUUGCUUUCGCUCAGGAUAGAUUUAAGGAUUUACCGAGAGAAUCCAGCGUGGAUCAAUUCGUCAAUGUGAAAGAGGAUUAGGUGCCUUCUCGGGAUCGUCGAGUAGUACGCAUUAGGAGCCGGAAAUAAGACGUUAUCAAUUUUGCGUGCAUCGAUCGUAAAGAGUGACGUAUGUAUCUCUAGCAAGCUCAAUUAAUCGGUCCACGUUUUAUUCCACUGACAAUGAAACAUAUGGAGCCCAAGUAUCACGAAAUACUCGUGUUUUUCGAGGCGAUUUGGAGGAGAACUCUAGGUAUUCGCUUCCACCUUUGAACUCCGAUUAUUGGCGAAGCCUGACUGCUUACUUAUCGGACUUUACUGGCUAAAACGUAAGCAGCAAACUUGUACUAUACCUAAUUAAACUGCGAGCUAUCGUCUGGCGAUAAAAGAAUGUACGAAAAAAACCGGACCGACAAGGAGGAAGAGGAGGAGGAGGAGGAGGAGGAGGAGGAGAAGCAGGAGCAAAAGAAGAGAAGAGUAGUGGUAGGUACCAGGGAAGGUAUGCCACUGGCAGUCCUCUUUGUCUUUCUCUCCUCCUUUUAGCCUCUUCAUCUACCAUCGGCCCUGCUGGAAAUUUGUUCUUGGUUUCAUGGAGCACGGAAUUAUCGCUGCUUUCAAAGUUGUGCACUUACACAGGUGGAGGGAAGGUAAAGAUCGACGAGAAAGAAACUACGGUGAAGGGGUGCGAACGAGUGUGUGGAAGUAGAUAUAAGAGAAUAGGACGACUGAUGAGAGAGACAGAAAAAGAGAGAAAGAGAGAGAGAGAGAGAGAUAGAUAGAUAGAUAGAGAGAGAGAGAGAGGGAGAGAGAGAGAGAUAGAGAGAGAGAGAGAGAGAGAAUAGUUAAACCGAGACUCGGAAUCUACGAUAUUGAGUUAGAAGUAAGGCAGUAUACUGAAGUGGGGUCUAAUAAAAUUUGAUGACCGGGAACUUCGUAAUGAAAAUGAGACGCGAAAAGAGGAAAAGUUGAUGGCGGGCGGGGUGGCGAUGUAAGAGAGAAAGAAAGGAAAGCAGGGUAACGCGAACAAGAAACGACGCGACCGACUAGGAAAACUUUUCAGAAGCGGCCUUGAUUUAUGAUAUUUCAUCGAUCGCCGUGAACGCGCGCGUACCGUUCUUUCUUAUCGUUGGUACGAACGGAUGAACCCGAUUUAUAGCGUUCUUAUACUUAGCGAAGAGAAAGAGGGAUAGAUCGAUCUCUCGUUCGUUUCUAUGAUGAGACUAACGAGUCCACGUCCACAAGAGAAUCGAUCGGAGGCCGAAGAUAACAAGGAACUAUUAAUUAAAAAUGUCUUUGAGACGAUAUGUGACGUAGAAGAAUGUUAUGAUCGUUCGGCGAAGUUCAUUCAUAAGAAAGGAAAGUAUUCGUUAUUAUAAUUCCUCUCACCUUUGUUCAGAAAGACGAUCCUACUUAGGAAAAGGAGAAAGCCCCAUGCUAAUCUGAUUAAAUGAAUCCUAUUGUCUCUUGCUUUAAACGAGUACGCCGUCCUGCAAUUACAUUUCGAGCUCGUUUCAUUCGGCCGAAUAUGUACGAAUUGUUUCAGGAAAACGGUUCCUCUCUACUCCGUAAUAUUUCGACAAUUCUUGAUCCAACAUCGUCUUUCAAUUUUCUUAGAAGAUUAUACUAAAUAUUGAAUUUGCCGUGAGGAAACAGAAAUAAAAAAUAAAGUUUUAAGUAACAUUAGAGAAAAAGGAAAGACAGAAAAAGAGA